RNAcentral lists this ribosomal RNA (497 nucleotides) under uncultured bacterium. RNAcentral describes it as "partial 16S ribosomal RNA". It matches the Rfam family "Bacterial small subunit ribosomal RNA", at positions 28 to 507 of the family's 1533-position model. The record is from RNAcentral.
GAUGAACGCUGGCGGCGUGCCUAAUACAUGCAAGUCGAGCGAACAGACGAGGAGCUUGCUCCUCUGACGUUAGCGGCGGACGGGUGAGUAACACGUGGAUAACCUACCUAUAAGACUGGGAUAACUUCGGGAAACCGGAGCUAAUACCGGAUAAUAUAUUGAACCGCAUGGUUCAAUAGUUAAAGACGGUUUUGCUGUCACUUAUAGAUGGAUCCGCGCCGCAUUAGCUAGUUGGUAAGGUAACGGCUUACCAAGGCAACGAUGCGUAGCCGACCUGAGAGGGUGAUCGGCCACACUGGAACUGAGACACGGUCCAGACUCCUACGGGAGGCAGCAGUAGGGAAUCUUCCGAAAUGGGCGAAAGCCUGAAGGAGCAACGCCGCGUGAGUGAUGAAGGUCUUCGGAUCGUAAAACUCUGUUAUUAGGGAAGAACAAAUGUGUAAGUAACUAUGCACGUCUUGACGGUACCUAAUCAGAAAGCCACGGCUAACUACGUG